RNAcentral lists this ribosomal RNA (497 nucleotides) under uncultured bacterium. Its description in RNAcentral is "partial 16S ribosomal RNA". It matches the Rfam family "Bacterial small subunit ribosomal RNA", at positions 28 to 507 of the family's 1533-position model. The record is from RNAcentral.
GACGAACGCUGGCGGCGUGCCUAAUACAUGCAAGUUGAGCGCUGAAGGUUGGUACUUGUACCAACUGGAUGAGCAGCGAACGGGUGAGUAACGCGUGGGGAAUCUGCCUUUGAGCGGGGGACAACAUUUGGAAACGAAUGCUAAUACCGCAUAAAAACUUUAAACACAAGUUUUAAGUUUGAAAGAUGCAAUUGCAUCACUCAAAGAUGAUCCCGCGUUGUAUUAGCUAGUUGGUGAGGUAAAGGCUCACCAAGGCGAUGAUACAUAGCCGACCUGAGAGGGUGAUCGGCCACAUUGGGACUGAGAUACGGCCCAAACUCCUACGGGAGGCAGCAGUAGGGAAUCUUCGGCAAUGGACGAAAGUCUGACCGAGCAACGCCGCGUGAGUGAAGAAGGUUUUCGGAUCGUAAAACCCUGUUGGUAGAGAAGAACGUUGGUGAGAGUGGAAAGCUCAUCAAGUGACGGUAACUACCCAGAAAGGGACGGCUAACUACGUG